CCUACGGGUGGCUGCAGUCGAGAAUCUUCGGCAAUGCGCGAAAGCGUGACCGAGCGACGCCGCGUGCGGGAUGAAGGCCUUCGGGUUGUAAACCGCUGUCGUAGGGGAGGAAGGCUCCAUGAAGAAUGGGGUUUGACCUAUCCUAGGAGGAAGGACGGGCUAAGUUCGUGCCAGCAGCCGCGGUAAGACGAACCGUCCAAACGUUAUUCGGAAUUAUUGGGCUUAAAGGGUGCGUAGGCUGUGCAGUAAGUUAGGUGUGAAAUCCCUCGGCUCAA
This 275-nucleotide ribosomal RNA is filed under the name uncultured bacterium. Its description in RNAcentral is "partial 16S ribosomal RNA". It matches the Rfam family "Bacterial small subunit ribosomal RNA", at positions 338 to 612 of the family's 1533-position model. The record is from RNAcentral.